GACGAACGCUGGCGGCGUGCCUAACACAUGCAAGUCGAACGGGGUCCAUCCGGUGGCAACACCGGAGAAGACCUAGUGGCGAACGGGUGAGUAACACGUGAGGAACCUGCCCCGAAGACCGGGAUAAGCCGAGGAAACUUGGUCUAAUACCGGAUAUCCCCAUCAGAUCGCAUGUUCAGAUGAGGAAAUGGAUUCCGCUUCGGGAGGGCCUCGCGGCCUAUCAGCUAGUUGGUGAGGUAACGGCUCACCAAGGCAUCGACGGGUAGCUGGUCUGAGAGGACGAUCAGCCACACUGGGACUGAGACACGGCCCAGACUCCUACGGGAGGCAGCAGUGGGGAAUCUUGCGCAAUGGGGGAAACCCUGACGCAGCAACGCCGCGUGCGGGACGAAGGCUCUCGGGUCGUAAACCGCUUUCAGGAGGGAAGAAAAUGACGGUACCUCCAGAAGAAGCCCCGGCCAACUACGUGCCAGCCGCCGCGGUAACAC
RNAcentral lists this ribosomal RNA (488 nucleotides) under uncultured bacterium. Its description in RNAcentral is "bacterial SSU rRNA". It matches the Rfam family "Bacterial small subunit ribosomal RNA", at positions 28 to 526 of the family's 1533-position model. The record is from RNAcentral.